Molecule: ribosomal RNA, 374 nt
Filed under: uncultured bacterium
Lineage: Bacteria
Description: bacterial SSU rRNA
Rfam family: Bacterial small subunit ribosomal RNA
Source: RNAcentral
UACGUAGGGACCAAGCGUUGUUCGGAUUUACUGGGCGUAAAGGGCGCGUAGGCGGCAAUUCAAGUCAGCUGUGAAAUCUCCGGGCUUAACUCGGAACGGUCAGCUGAUACUGCUUUGCUAGAGUGCAGAAGGGGCAAUCGGAAUUCUUGGUGUAGCGGUGAAAUGCGUAGAUAUCAAGAGGAACACCUGAGGUGAAGACGGGUUGCUGGGCUGACACUGACGCUGAGGCGCGAAAGCUAGGGGAGCAAACGGGAUUAGAUACCCCGGUAGUCCUAGCCCUAAACGAUGAAUACUUGGUGUCUGGAGUUUUUAUCCUCCGGGUGCCGUCGCUAACGUUUUAAGUAUUCCGCCUGGGGAGUACGCACGCAAGUGUG